CUGACUUCCUCUUCCACUGCUUGGUGCUUUCAGGAUGAAGAAUUUGUCCUACUGUUGGAAAACGGAGCCAUCCCUCGUACUCAUAGCGUCAGAGGAACCAACUACUGUUUGAUCAAUGUUUUUCCAGACCGAAUUCCUGGGAGAGCAAUCAUUAUAUCUGUAAUUGAUAAUCUAGUGAAGGGAGCUUCUGGUCAAGCUUUGCAGAAUCUUAAUGCGAUGAUGGGAUUUCCAGAAAAUUUGGGUCUUCAUUACCAGCCUUUGUUUCCUUAGAGUAAUACUAAUAAUAUUAUCCAAGGGCAUGCUGCGGGUGAUGAAGCAGAGUCAAAUAGUUAAGGACGAGGUGCCAACUAGAUGCAUUAAUGAAUAUGUUGUUCAAAUUAUGUAUUUGUCAAUAAAAUUUAUCCUUAAUAAUCCUUCUUGAAUGAAGGGAAAUUGUAGGACACGGAUGUUACGGAGUAGUCAAUUCCAUCCUUGGUUGUAGGAUUAGCAUGUUUCGCAUGUUUCUCUUCAUAUCACUUCUUUCGUUUUGCCUUCAGAUAUUUAUGAUUAUUUAAUUCCAUAAUUCUUGG
Molecule: long non-coding RNA, 569 nt
Organism: Neltuma alba
Lineage: Eukaryota; Viridiplantae; Streptophyta; Magnoliopsida; Fabales; Fabaceae
Exons: 3
Source: RefSeq, a predicted model, not a curated record